RNAcentral lists this ribosomal RNA (483 nucleotides) under uncultured bacterium. RNAcentral describes it as "bacterial SSU rRNA". It matches the Rfam family "Bacterial small subunit ribosomal RNA", at positions 29 to 487 of the family's 1533-position model. The record is from RNAcentral.
AACUAACGCUGGCGGCGUGCCUAACACAUGCAAGUCGUACGAGAAAGCCGGCUUCGGCUGGUGAGUAAAGUGGCGCACGGGUGAGUAACGCGUGGAUAAUCUGCCCUUAAGUGUGGAAUAACGUACCGAAAGGUGCGUUAAUACCGCAUAAUGCCUGGCAACACAAGUUGUCCGGCCAAAGAAGGCCUCUGUUUACAAGCUUUCGCUUCAGGAUGAGUCCGCGUACCAUUAGCUUGUUGGUGGGGUAAUGGCCUACCAAGGCUGCGAUGGUUAGCUGGUCUGAGAGGAUGAUCAGCCACACUGGAACUGAGACACGGUCCAGACUCCUACGGGAGCAGCAGUGAGGAAUAUUGCGCAAUGGGGGCAACCCUGACGCAGCAACGCCGCGUGAGUGAGGAAGGUUUUCGGACUGUAAAGCUCGUGUCGAGCGGGAAGAAGUGUACCAUGGCUAAUAUCCAUGAUAUUUGACGGUACCGCUAGAGG